UACGGAGGGGGCCAGCGUUGCUCGGAAUUACUGGGCGUAAAGGGCUUGUAGGCGGUCUGAUAAGUCCUGUGUGAAAUCCCUUGGCUUAACCAAGGAACUGCGCCGGAUACUGUCGGACUAGAGGCCGGGAGAGGGAAGCGGAAUUCCCAGUGUAGCGGUGAAAUGCGUAGAUAUUGGGAGGAACACCGGUGGCGAAGGCGGCUUCCUGGACCGGUUCUGACGCUGCAGAGCGAAAGCUAGGGUAGCAAACAGGAUUAGAUACCCUGGUAGUCCUAGCUGUAAACGAUGGGCGCUUGGUGUUGCGGGUAUCGACCCCUGCAGUGCCGAAGCUAACGCAUUAAGCGCCCCGCCUGGGGAGUACGGUCGCAAGGCUGAA
RNAcentral lists this ribosomal RNA (376 nucleotides) under uncultured bacterium. RNAcentral describes it as "bacterial SSU rRNA". It matches the Rfam family "Bacterial small subunit ribosomal RNA", at positions 524 to 898 of the family's 1533-position model. The record is from RNAcentral.